UCCGAUUCCGGUACAAACCGGAAUCAUACCGGUCCGGUUAGCGAUCGGUACGCCUGCCGGAUCCGGUAUGGCGGACCUUGGUCAAAAGCCAUGAGACCAGGGUCGGCGGAACCAGUACCAGAUAUCGUACCGGUUGCCCGGUGGAACGAGUCGGUACGGGCCUGCAUUGUGCCGUGCUAGGACCGUACCGACAUAGUAGAAGAGAUGGAGGAGAGGGAGAACGAGAGAAAAAGAAAGAGAAGGGGGAGGUCGAGGGAGGUUGGCGGAGAGCCAGCGGAGGGCCGGAGAGCCGCCGCGCAGAGGAGGUUCAUGCCGGAGAGUCGUCGAGAAGCCGCAGAAGAAGGGCUCCCUCUGGGCCCAUGUUUUGAACUAAUUGCCGACUUCACUUAAUUUUUAAGGGAGCUCCUCUUCCACGGCUCCCUUCGCAUGGCGGCUCCUCAGCCUCUGCCGGCCGGCCGUGGCCUCGACCUUUCUCUUUCUUUUCUCCUCUCUUCCUCCGUCCCUCGUCUCUCUAUUCCCCUUUUUCUUCGUCUUCUCGGACACUGGUCUCGUUUUCAUCGCCAGAACUGUCUUGGUCCGCGGCCGGUACGGCUCGGGACGCUCCGAACCGGAUAGUU
Molecule: long non-coding RNA, 617 nt
Filed under: Phoenix dactylifera (date palm)
Lineage: Eukaryota; Viridiplantae; Streptophyta; Magnoliopsida; Arecales; Arecaceae
Description: long non-coding RNA (PDAC_LNC017989)
Source: RNAcentral